This 403-nucleotide ribosomal RNA is filed under the name uncultured bacterium. RNAcentral's name for it is "bacterial SSU rRNA". It matches the Rfam family "Bacterial small subunit ribosomal RNA", at positions 355 to 774 of the family's 1533-position model. The record is from RNAcentral.
UAGGGAAUAUUGCAAAAUGGGCGAAAGCCCGAUGCAGCAACGCCGCGUGGGCGAUGAAGGCCCUCGGGUCGUAAAGCCCUUUUUGAGGGGAUGAGGAAGGACAGUACCCUCAGAAUAAGCCUCGGCUAACUACGUGCCAGCAGCCGCGGUAAAACGUAGGAGGCGAGCGUUAUCCGGAUUUACUGGGCGUAAAGCGCGUGCAGGCGGAUUGGAGAGUUGGAUGUGAAAGCUCUCGGCUUAACUGGGAGAGGUCGUUCAAUACUUCCAGUCUUGAGUGCAGUAGAGGGAAGUGGAAUUCCGGGUGUAGUGGUGAAAUGCGUAGAUAUCCGGAGGAACACCAGUGGCGAAAGCGGCUUCCUGGACUGUAACUGACGCUCAGACGCGAAAGCUAGGGUAGCAAACG